RNAcentral lists this ribosomal RNA (261 nucleotides) under uncultured archaeon. Its description in RNAcentral is "partial 16S ribosomal RNA". It matches the Rfam family "Archaeal small subunit ribosomal RNA", at positions 748 to 1009 of the family's 1478-position model. The record is from RNAcentral.
AGGGUGUAAACGCUGCAGACUUGGUGUUGGAGGCCCUUUGGGGGCAUUCAGUGCCGGAGAGAAGUUGUUAAGUCUGCUACUUGGGGAGUACGUCCGCAAGGAUGAAACUUAAAGGAAUUGGCGGGGGAGCACCGCAACGGGAGGAGCGUGCGGUUUAAUUGGAUUCAACACCGUAAAACUCACCAGGGAAGACUGUUACAUGAAGGCCGAGAUGAAGACUCUGCUAGAUUUUCAGAGAGGUGGUGCAUGGCGUAGACGUCU